AGUGAACGCUGGCGGUAGGCCUAACACAUGCAAGUCGAACGGCAGCACAGUAAGAGCUUGCUCUUACGGGUGGCGAGUGGCGGACGGGUGAGGAAUACAUCGGAAUCUACUUUUUCGUGGGGGAUAACGUAGGGAAACUUACGCUAAUACCGCAUACGACCUACGGGUGAAAGCAGGGGAUCUUCGGACCUUGCGCGAUUGAAUGAGCCGAUGGCGGAUUAGCUCGUUGGCGGGGUAAAGGCCCACCAAGGCGACGAUCCGUAGCUGGUCUGAGAGGAGGAUCAGCCACACUGGAACUGGAACACGGUCCAGACUCCUACGGGAGGCAGCAGUGGGGAACAUUGGACAAUGGGCGCAAGCCUGAUCCAGCCAUACCGCGUGGGUGAAACAGGCCUUCGGGUUGUAAAGCCCUUUUGUUGGGAAAGAAAAGCAGCAGGUUAAUACCCCGCUGUUCUGACGGUACCCAAAGAAUAAGCACCGGCUAACUUCGUG
Molecule: ribosomal RNA, 492 nt
Filed under: uncultured bacterium
Lineage: Bacteria
Description: partial 16S ribosomal RNA
Rfam family: Bacterial small subunit ribosomal RNA
Source: RNAcentral